UACGAAGGGUGCAAGCGUUACUCGGAAUUACUGGGCGUAAAGCGUGCGUAGGCGGUUUGUUAAGUCUGUUGUGAAAGCCCCGGGCUCAACCUGGGAAUGGCAAUGGAAACUGGCGAGCUAGAGUACGGUAGAGGAGAGUGGAAUUCCCGGUGUAGCAGUGAAAUGCGUAGAUAUCAGGAGGAAUACCGAUGGCGAAGGCAGGUCUCUGGGCUAUAACUGACGCUCAUGCACGAAAGCGUGGGGAGCAAACAGG
RNAcentral lists this ribosomal RNA (253 nucleotides) under uncultured bacterium. RNAcentral's name for it is "partial 16S ribosomal RNA". It matches the Rfam family "Bacterial small subunit ribosomal RNA", at positions 524 to 776 of the family's 1533-position model. The record is from RNAcentral.